RNAcentral lists this ribosomal RNA (253 nucleotides) under uncultured prokaryote. RNAcentral's name for it is "partial 16S ribosomal RNA". It matches the Rfam family "Bacterial small subunit ribosomal RNA", at positions 525 to 777 of the family's 1533-position model. The record is from RNAcentral.
ACGAAGGUGGCAAGCGUUGUUCGGAUUUACUGGGCGUAAAGGGAGCGUGGGCGGUCUGGUAAGCCCUCCGGGAAAUCUCCCGGCCUAACCGGGAAAGGUCGGAGGGGACUGCUUGACUAGAGGGCGGGAGAGGAGCGCGGAAUUCCCGGUGUAGCGGUGAAAUGCGUAGAGAUCGGGAGGAAGGCCGAUGGCGAAGGCGGCGCUCUGGAACGAUCCUGACGCUGAGGCUCGAAAGCGUGGGGAGCAAACAGGA